GUUUACAGCCAUGCCACCCUGAACGUGCCCGAUCUCGUCUGAUCUCAGAAGCUAAGCAGGGUCAGGCCUGGUUAGUACUUGGAUGGGAGACCACCUCGGAAUACCAGGUGCAGUAAAAG
This 119-nucleotide ribosomal RNA is filed under the name Pteropus alecto (black flying fox). RNAcentral also lists the same sequence under 1 other name. The record is from RNAcentral. Lineage: Eukaryota; Metazoa; Chordata; Mammalia; Chiroptera; Pteropodidae.